This 871-nucleotide unclassified non-coding RNA is filed under the name Hevea brasiliensis (rubber tree). The record is from RNAcentral. Lineage: Eukaryota; Viridiplantae; Streptophyta; Magnoliopsida; Malpighiales; Euphorbiaceae.
AAAAACCAUUUCAAGCUCCCCCUAGCCUGAAUCAUCCUUUCCUUGUCUUCUUGGUGGGGUUGCUUAUGGUGUUUAUAGGCAGUUCAGGCCCUUUGUUUCAUGGAAAAAAAGAUCUGCUACCGAUAGGAAGCAUAUAUACAAUAACAAAUCAAAGCUUCAAGACAAAGAUAAUCCAAGUAUUGCAAAUGCAUUUUUCCUAGCCAAUGCAAAGAUAACAUUGGUGAAAAGGAGCAUUUCCUUCUCCCUCUCCUUAAUUAUUCACUUCCAUCCAAAGAAAGAUUCAUAACAUAAAUCAACCCACAAAAUCAUGAAUCAUCUGACCUCCAAAUUGCCGCCUAAGUUGAUCCUCAUGUUGCUGCAAUUGCUGCUGCUGCUGCUGCUGAGCAUUUUCUACACCGUGCCUUAACCCAAGUGUAAGUGAAACGGCUCCUAGGCCUCCAAUGUCAAUUCCAGCUCUCUGGUAUGGCAGAAAAUUCAUCACUGAUCCAUCCAUGCUAGUUGGAACAUGAACCUCCAUUCUUGUUCGUUUCUCCUGACUCCACUGCCCUUCAUCCAGUUUUUCUCCGCUGCCCGCCGAGGAGCCUGUACCCUCCAAUUGCUUAUUAAGUAUGGAGCUUGGACCUGUAUUAUUUGGGGGUUGCUCGUGACUUGGCUGGCUAGUACCCUCAGGACAUUUUCCUUCAAGGUUAUUCACACAAGUUCGAUUUUCUGCCCAACCUUUGGUUUCAAGCAUGUGCAUAUCUUCAACCAUAGGUUUCCAAACCCGUACCCGGGCAUUUAUAAACCAGUUUGAGACCUGGUUUCGAGAUAGCCCAGUUUGAGUGGCCAACAUGUGCUUAUCCGUGUCCGUGGGGUACGGAUGAAGAAAAUG